GACGAACGCUGGCGGCGUGCUUAACACAUGCAAGUCGAACAGAAAGGCCCUGCUUUUGUGGGGUGCUCGAGUGGCGAACGGGUGAGUAACACGUGAGUAACCUGCCCUUGACUUUGGGAUAACUUCAGGAAACUGGGGCUAAUACCGGAUAGGAGCUCCUGCUGCAUGGUGGGGGUUGGAAAGUUUCGGCGGUGGGGGAUGGACUCGCGGCUUAUCAGCUUGUUGGUGGGGUAGUGGCUUACCAAGGCUUUGACGGGUAGCCGGCCUGAGAGGGUGACCGGCCACAUUGGGACUGAGAUACGGCCCAGACUCCUACGGGAGGCAGCAGUGGGGAAUAUUGCACAAUGGGCGGAAGCCUGAUGCAGCAACGCCGCGUGCGGGAUGACGGCCUUCGGGUUGUAAACCGCUUUCGCCUGUGACGAAGCGUGAGUGACGGUAAUGGGUAAAGAAGCACCGGCUAACUACGUG
Molecule: ribosomal RNA, 468 nt
Filed under: uncultured bacterium
Lineage: Bacteria
Description: partial 16S ribosomal RNA
Rfam family: Bacterial small subunit ribosomal RNA
Source: RNAcentral